CGCAAAUGCGAAGAGAGCGAGAGGACUUACUGCUGAUGAGAAGGUUUCAGCAGUCUGGAUAGAAGAGGAAACAUUCUCUUAAGCCAAAGCCUAAUCCAGAGCAAAGUGCUAACUCUCUCCAGUUCCAUGGAGGCUGAGAGGCGAAGAAGCUGCACAAGAAAAGCUUGAAAUUGGCCGAUAUUGGUUCGUGAGGCACAAAGGAAAGAGACUGUCGUCCUAACCUCAAAGUCCAAGGUGAAGCGGCAGGCGCUGAUGCAGAAGCUCCAGCCACGUGGAGGCAAGGCCCUUCACCAGCAAAAAGACUGACUUGCGGAAAGCUCAGGUGAUAUGGUUAGCACCUUAUAAACAAUAAAGUAUUUUUUAAUGAAGGCGUGUACAUUGAUUUUUAGACGUAAUGCUAUUGUAUACUCACUAGACUACAGGGUAGUGUAAACAUAACUUUUAUAUGUGCUGGGAAGCCAGCAAAGUCAUUUGACUCAUUUUACUGUGGUAUUUGCUUUCUUGUGGUCUGGAACCAAAUCUUUAAGAUCUCUGAGGUUUGCCUGUAUACUUCCACUAGGUGCCUUAGCUGAGAGAAGACCUAAAACCUCUUGGUGGAUAACUGAAAGAAUCUUACCUCAUUUGGUCUCCAGAACCCUUUGGACAGAAAGUGACCCAUGAGAAAUCAAGCCAUGGAGAAAUAUGGAAACCCCGAUUCUGAGUAUUUUGUUAGGCAGAG
Molecule: long non-coding RNA, 718 nt
Filed under: Lynx pardinus (Iberian lynx)
Lineage: Eukaryota; Metazoa; Chordata; Mammalia; Carnivora; Felidae
Source: RNAcentral